GACGAACGCUGGCGGCGUGCUUAACACAUGCAAGUCGAACGGAAAGGCCCUGCUUUUGUGGGGUGCUCGAGUGGCGAACGGGUGAGUAACACGUGAGUAACCUGCCCUUGACUUUGGGAUAACUUCAGGAAACUGGGGCUAAUACCGGAUAGGAGCUCCUGCUGCAUGGUGGGGGUUGGAAAGUUUCGGCGGUUGGGGAUGGACUCGCGACUUAUCAGCUUGUUGGUGGGGUAGUGGCUUACCAAGGCUUUGACGGGUAGCCGGCCUGAGAGGGUGACCGGCCACAUUGGGACUGAGAUACGGCCCAGACUCCUACGGGAGGCAGCAGUGGGGAAUAUUGCACAAUGGGCGGAAGCCUGAUGCAGCAACGCCGCGUGCGGGAUGACGGCCUUCGGGUUGUAAACCGCUUUCGCCUGUGACGAAGCGUGAGUGACGGUAAUGGGUAAAGAGGCACCGGCUAACUACGUG
RNAcentral lists this ribosomal RNA (468 nucleotides) under uncultured bacterium. RNAcentral describes it as "partial 16S ribosomal RNA". It matches the Rfam family "Bacterial small subunit ribosomal RNA", at positions 28 to 507 of the family's 1533-position model. The record is from RNAcentral.